RNAcentral lists this ribosomal RNA (426 nucleotides) under uncultured bacterium. RNAcentral's name for it is "partial 16S ribosomal RNA". It matches the Rfam family "Bacterial small subunit ribosomal RNA", at positions 354 to 796 of the family's 1533-position model. The record is from RNAcentral.
GUGAGGAAUUUUCCGCAAUGGGCGAAAGCCUGACGGAGCAAUGCCGCGUGAAGGAUGAAGGCCUAUGGGUUGUAAACUUCUUUUCUCAGAAAAGAAUUAUGACGGUAUCUGAGGAAUAAACAUCGGCUAACUCUGUGCCAGCAGCCGCGGUAAGACAGAGGAUGCAAGCGUUAUCCGGAAUGAUUGGGCGUAAAGCGUCUGUAGGUUGUUUAAAAAGUAUUCUUGCAAAGAUUAGGGCUUAACCCUAGAUAGGCAGAAUAAACUUUUAAGCUAGUGUUUGGUAGAGGCAGAGGGAAUUCCCGGUGGAGCGGUGAAAUGCGUAGAUAUCGGGAGGAACACCAAAGGCGAAGGCACUCUGCUGGGCCAAUACUAACACUGAGAGACGAAAGCGAGGGGAGCAAAUGGGAUUAGAAACCCUGGUAGUCC